GGGUUGUGAGGUUAAGCGACUAAGCGUACACGGUGGAUGCCCUGGCAGUCAGAGGCGAUGAAGGACGUGCUAAUCUGCGAUAAGCGUCGGUGAGGUGAUAUGAACCGUUAUAACCGGCGAUUUCCGAAUGGGGAAACCCAGUGUGUUUCGACACACUAUCAUUAACUGAAUCCAUAGGUUAAUGAGGCGAACCGGGGGAA
Molecule: ribosomal RNA, 200 nt
Filed under: Escherichia coli
Lineage: Bacteria; Pseudomonadati; Pseudomonadota; Gammaproteobacteria; Enterobacterales; Enterobacteriaceae
Description: partial 23S ribosomal RNA
Rfam family: Bacterial large subunit ribosomal RNA
Source: RNAcentral